This 589-nucleotide long non-coding RNA is filed under the name Panax ginseng (ginseng). RNAcentral describes it as "long non-coding RNA (PGIN_LNC017606)". Lineage: Eukaryota; Viridiplantae; Streptophyta; Magnoliopsida; Apiales; Araliaceae. The record is from RNAcentral.
UCAAACAAAUUUGUAGCAUUCAGCUCAGGACCAAGGAUUUGUCCGGGAAAAGAAUUAGGGUUUAAUAAAAUGAAGGCUGUGGCGGCACACGGAUUAAAGGUUAUGGUUACCAAGAGACGGGCAUGAUUAACGCACUUAUAAUAUAUUAGAGAAUUAAAUACAACAAAUUAUAAUCUCCUUGUAAUUAGUUGUAAUCCCAUAAUUCUUGCAAUUAGUCAGGGACUGAGCCAGGAUUUAAUAUUGGGGGGCCAAAAAAUAUAUAUUCAUCCCAAUUAACUACCCCAAUUUAUUUCUGCACAUACAUAAUAUAUAUAUACACACUGAUAUACACAAGCCGUUAAGGACAACUGUUUGAUUGCUAACAAGAGCAUAAUAUAUAUACACACUGAUAUAUUUCCCUUGUGUUAUAUGGGUAUUGAAAUGGGAAUAAUAAGCACAAAAUUAGUAAACAUAACAUUUUGUAUCAGUUUUGAUGACAAGUUCUAGAGCAGUAUCAAAGCCUUCUUUCAUUUGUUAAACCUAGAACACAUUAAAUUCAUACUUGUCCCAAAUUUUCAAGGCUUCAUUUACACAUUCAUAUAGCUCUAAG